AUAGCAAGCCAUAUUACAUCAAAUAAAAUCACAACAAACUCAUAUCUAUAGAUAUCUUAUAAAGCUCAAAACCACUUAAGAGUCUUCUUCAAAUUCAUCAACUUAUCAACAUGUCUGGCAAAUGUGGAAACUGCAACUGUGCUGACAGCACCCAGUGUGUGAACAAGGGAAAUCAAUAUGGAAUUGACACCGUGGCUGAUGAUGUCAUCUUCUACGAUGGUGUGGUGAUGGAAGGCGGUAACUGCGACAGCUGCAAGUGCGGCGCCAGCUGCGCCUGCACCAGCUGCUCUUGCUGCUCUCACUAAGCAAAACAACCUCAUUAGAUGGAAGGCCUUAUCAUAUUAUCUAAUUUCUAUUUAAUAUAAGCUUCUAAUCUACUGAAUUAUGCACCUUAUACAUUAUGUAUAAGAAGACUUAUUUAUAAUUGGAAUAAUUUGUUACUUUGUAUGCUUUGUAAUAUGGCCCUGUGCCUAAUUAUAUAUGCUAUCAAUAUUAUUGCAUCGAAUUUAUUAGCUAUUUA
Chenopodium quinoa (quinoa) is the source of this 520-nucleotide long non-coding RNA. RefSeq lists it as uncharacterized. The transcript has 3 exons. NCBI's taxonomy places the organism in Eukaryota, Viridiplantae, Streptophyta, Magnoliopsida, Caryophyllales, Amaranthaceae. The record is from RefSeq and is a predicted model, not a curated record.